Molecule: long non-coding RNA, 459 nt
Filed under: Prunus persica (peach)
Lineage: Eukaryota; Viridiplantae; Streptophyta; Magnoliopsida; Rosales; Rosaceae
Description: long non-coding RNA (PPER_LNC001881)
Source: RNAcentral
AGGAGGAGUCAUUAUUGUUGAUUUCUUUGUUUUUUGCAAAUUUAGAAGCUUACGACUGAUUUUUAUAUUUGAUGGCAAGUGGGAGGUGCUCUUUUCCCCUUGAAAGAUUUUCCUCUUUUUUGGGGGUUUUUUAUGCUAAAGGUUUUUUUUUUCUUUUCACAAAGGUCCAAGUUUGCACAUUCUUUUGCUUUCUCCUCAGUGUAUUAUGUUGGUUGGUUAAUGAAUGAAACCCCUUUACCGAUUAAAAAAAAAAACCUUUUUUAUUUUUUUAUUUUUUUGUGGUCAAUCUCAGUUCAUUCUGUUCACCCGUUUGCGUGUUCCACUCUUGAGGUGGAAGGGCGAAGUUCCCCACUGGCUUGGAGACCACUUGUUGGUCGACAAGUCAGCUUUCUUUGGUGUGCGAGCGUGCCACUGCUAGCAAUAUAAAUUCUAGCAAACUUAUUUUUAGAGUGGAUAACU